UCGUUGUAUACGAGUAGAAGCCGUACCGUGAGGAGCGGUGGAUUGUAUAGAAGUGAGAAUGCCGGUGUGAGUAGCGAGAUGUAGGUGAGAAUCCUACACACCGAAAGCCCAAGGAUUCCAGGGGAAGGUUCGUCCGCCCUGGGUAAGUCGGGACCUAACGCGAGGCCGAAAGGCGUAGUGGAUGGAAAGCAGGCGAAAGAUUCCUGCACCCGUAUAUGGAGCGAAGGAGUGACGGAGACGGAUAGUGUGACCCACUUAAUGGAUUGAGGGCGAAGCGAAGCGGCUGGUUACCAGGUAAAUCCGGUAACCUUAAGGCUAGAGCGUGACAGGUAAGCGAAAUCUAAGGAAAGUAGCGAAGCACAUGAUGACGGCUUCCAGGAAAAGCUUCUGGCAAUGCAUAUGCGGCCCGUACCAAAACCGACACAGGUGGGCAGGGAGAGAAUCCCGAGGUGAGCGAGAGAACUGUUGCCAAGGAACUCGGCAAAAUGACUCCGUAAGUUAGCGAGAAGGAGUGCUUAAGCAAUUAAGCCGCAGUGAAGAGGCCCAAGCGACUGUUUAACUAAAACACAGCUCUCUGCGAAGUCGCAAGACGAAGUAUAGGGGGUGACACCUGCCCGGUGCUGGAAGGUUAAGAGGAUCUGUUAAGAGCGAUCUGAAGCAGUGAUCCGAAGCCCCAGUGAACGGCGGCCGUAACUAUAACGGUCCUAAGGUAGCGAAUUUCCUUGUCAGGUAAGUUCUGACCCGCACGAAAGGUGUAACGAUUUGGGCGCUGUCUCGGCAGCAGACUCGGUGAAAUCUUAGUACCUGUGAAAAUGCAGGUUACCCGCAACUAGACGGAAAGACCCCAUGGAGCUUUACUGCAGCCUGAUAUUGAAUUCUGGUCAUACAUGUACAGGAUAGGUGGGAGACAAAGAAACGUGCACGCCAGUGUACGAGGAGUCGACGUUGGGAUACCACUCUUGUGUGACCGGGGUUCUAACCUGGUAUCGAGAACAGGUACGGGGAGAGUGUCAGGUGGGCAGUUUGACUGGGGCGGUCGCCUCCCAAAGAGUAACGGAGGCGCCCAAAGGUACGCUCAGAUUGGAUGGAAACCAAUCGACGAGUGCAAUUGCAGAAGCGUGCUUGACUGUGAGACAGACAAGUCGAACAGGGACGAAAGUCGGGAAUAGUGAUCCGGCGGUGCCGAAUGGAAGGGCCGUCGCUCAACGGAUAAAAGCUACCCUGGGGAUAACAGGCUGAUCUCGCCCAAGAGUUCACAUCGACGGCGAGGUUUGGCACCUCGAUGUCGGCUCAUCGCAUCCUGGAGCUGGAUUCGGUUCCAAGGGUUGGGCUGUCCGCCCAUCAAAGCGGUACGCGAGCUGGGUUCAGAACGUCGUGAGACAGUUCGGUCCCUAUCUGUUGUGGGCGAAGGAGAUCUGCGGAGAGCUGUCCUCAGUACGAGAGGACCGGGAUGGACCUACCGCUGGUGCACCGGUUGUUCCGCCAGGGGCAUAGCCGGGUAGCUAAGUAGGGAAAGGAUAAGCGCUGAAAGCAUCUAAGCACGAAGCCUACUCCAAGAUGAGAUCUCCCAUUCGCAAGAAGUAAGACCCCUUAAAGACGAUAAGGUAGAUAGGUCAGGGAUGGAAGUGCAGUGAUGUACGGAGUUGACUGGUACUAAUCGGUCGAGGACUUAAUU
This 1675-nucleotide ribosomal RNA is filed under the name metagenome. Its description in RNAcentral is "bacterial LSU rRNA". It matches the Rfam family "Bacterial large subunit ribosomal RNA", at positions 1236 to 2925 of the family's 2925-position model. The record is from RNAcentral.